RNAcentral lists this long non-coding RNA (335 nucleotides) under Monodelphis domestica (gray short-tailed opossum). RNAcentral's name for it is "lncRNA (ENSMODG00000028333.2)". The record is from RNAcentral. Lineage: Eukaryota; Metazoa; Chordata; Mammalia; Didelphimorphia; Didelphidae.
GAGAAAGAGAAGAGAAAGAAAGAAAGAAAGAAAGAAAGAGAGAGAGAAAGAGAGAGAGAAAGAAAGAAAGAAAGAGAGAGAGAGAAAGAAAGAGAGAGAGAGAGAGAAAGAAAGAAAGAAAGAAAGAAAGAAAGAAAGAAAGAAAGAAAGAAAGAAAGAAAGAAAGAAAGAAAGAAAGAAAGAAAGAAAGAAAGAAAGAAAGAAAGAAAGAAAGAAAGAAAGAAAGAAAGAAAGAAAGAAAGAAAGAAAGAAAGAAAAAGAAAGAAAGAAAGAAGCUCAAAUAGAUUCAUACGAAUAUGGUUGCAAGGAUUUUUUGAGAACUUCAAUAUAUCUUU